This 165-nucleotide ribosomal RNA is filed under the name uncultured bacterium. RNAcentral describes it as "partial 16S ribosomal RNA". It matches the Rfam family "Bacterial small subunit ribosomal RNA", at positions 1336 to 1500 of the family's 1533-position model. The record is from RNAcentral.
UAGUAAUGGCAGGUCAGCAUACUGCCGUGAAUACGUUCCCGGGCCUUGUACACACCGCCCGUCACACCAUGAGAGUUGGGGAUACCCGAAGCCUGUGAGCCAACUAUAUAGAGGCAGCAGUCGAAGGUAGAAUCAAUGAUUGGGGUGAAGUCGUAACAAGGUACC